GAUGAACACUGGCGGCGUGCCUAAUACAUGCAAGUCGAGCGAACAGACGAGGAGCUUGCUCCUCUGACGUUAGCGGCGGACGGGUGAGUAACACGUGGAUAACCUACCUAUAAGACUGGGAUAACUUCGGGAAACCGGAGCUAAUACCGGAUAAUAUAUUGAACCGCAUGGUUCAAUAGUGAAAGACGGUUUUGCUGUCACUUAUAGAUGGAUCCGCGCCGCAUUAGCUAGUUGGUAAGGUAACGGCUUACCAAGGCAACGAUGCGUAGCCGACCUGAGAGGGGGAUCGGGCCCACUGGAACUUGGACACGGUCCCGACUCCUACGGGAGGCAGCAGUAGGGAAUCUUCCGCAAUGGGCGAAAGCCUGACGGAGCAACGCCGCGUGAGUGAUGAAGGUCUUCGGAUCGUAAAACUCUGUUAUUAGGGAAGAACAAAUGUGUAAGUAACUAUGCACGUCUUGACGGUACCUAAUCAGAAAGCCACGGCUAACUACGUG
Molecule: ribosomal RNA, 497 nt
Filed under: uncultured bacterium
Lineage: Bacteria
Description: partial 16S ribosomal RNA
Rfam family: Bacterial small subunit ribosomal RNA
Source: RNAcentral